RNAcentral lists this transfer RNA (87 nucleotides) under Candidatus Latescibacterota bacterium. RNAcentral describes it as "tRNA-Leu". It matches the Rfam family "tRNA". Rfam says of the family: Transfer RNA (tRNA) molecules are approximately 80 nucleotides in length. Their secondary structure includes four short double-helical elements and three loops (D, anti-codon, and T loops). Further hydrogen bonds mediate the characteristic L-shaped molecular structure. tRNAs have two regions of fundamental functional importance: the anti-codon, which is responsible for specific mRNA codon recognition, and the 3' end, to which the tRNAs corresponding amino acid is attached (by aminoacyl-tRNA synthetases). tRNAs cope with the degeneracy of the genetic code in two manners: having more than one tRNA (with a specific anti-codon) for a particular amino acid; and 'wobble' base-pairing, i.e. permitting non-standard base-pairing at the 3rd anti-codon position. Lineage: Bacteria; Pseudomonadati; Candidatus Latescibacterota. The record is from RNAcentral.
GCCGAAGUGGUGGAACUGGUAGACGCGCUGGAUUCAAAAUCCAGUGUCCUUCGGGACGUGUGGGUUCGAUUCCCUCCUUCGGCACCA